RNAcentral lists this ribosomal RNA (2902 nucleotides) under Cronobacter sakazakii. RNAcentral describes it as "23S ribosomal RNA". It matches the Rfam family "Bacterial large subunit ribosomal RNA". Lineage: Bacteria; Pseudomonadati; Pseudomonadota; Gammaproteobacteria; Enterobacterales; Enterobacteriaceae. The record is from RNAcentral.
GGUUAAGCGAACAAGCGUACACGGUGGAUGCCCUGGCAGUCAGAGGCGAUGAAGGACGUGCUAAUCUGCGAAAAGCGCCGGUAAGGUGAUAUGAACCGUUAUAACCGGCGAUGUCCGAAUGGGGAAACCCGGUGCACUUCGGUGCAUCAUCGUUAGCUGAAUACAUAGGCUAACGAGGCGAACCGGGGGAACUGAAACAUCUAAGUACCCCGAGGAAAAGAAAUCAACCGAGAUUCCCCCAGUAGCGGCGAGCGAACGGGGAAGAGCCCAGAGCCUGAAUCAGCUUGUGUGUCAGUGGAACGGUCUGGAAAGGCCGGCGAUACAGGGUGACAGCCCCGUACACGAAGGCACACAGGCUGUGAGCUCGAUGAGUAGGGCGGGACACGUGAUAUCCUGUCUGAAGAUGGGGGGACCAUCCUCCAAGGCUAAAUACUCCUGACUGACCGAUAGUGAACCAGUACCGUGAGGGAAAGGCGAAAAGAACCCCGGCGAGGGGAGUGAAACAGAACCUGAAACCGUGUACGUACAAGCAGUGGGAGCCUUCGUAAGAGGGUGACUGCGUACCUUUUGUAUAAUGGGUCAGCGACUUAUAUUCUGUAGCAAGGUUAACCGUAUAGGGGAGCCGAAGGGAAACCGAGUCUUAACCGGGCGUUAAGUUGCAGGGUAUAGACCCGAAACCCGGUGAUCUAGCCAUGGGCAGGUUGAAGGUUGGGUAACACUAACUGGAGGACCGAACCGACUAAUGUUGAAAAAUUAGCGGAUGACCUGUGGCUGGGGGUGAAAGGCCAAUCAAACCGGGAGAUAGCUGGUUCUCCCCGAAAGCUAUUUAGGUAGCGCCUCGUGAACUCAUCUCCGGGGGUAGAGCACUGUUUCGGCUAGGGGGCCAUCCCGGCUUACCAACCCGAUGCAAACUGCGAAUACCGGAGAAUGUUAUCACGGGAGACACACGGCGGGUGCUAACGUCCGUCGUGAAGAGGGAAACAACCCAGACCGCCAGCUAAGGUCCCAAAGUCAUGGUUAAGUGGGAAACGAUGUGGGAAGGCCCAGACAGCCAGGAUGUUGGCUUAGAAGCAGCCAUCAUUUAAAGAAAGCGUAAUAGCUCACUGGUCGAGUCGGCCUGCGCGGAAGAUGUAACGGGGCUAAACCAUGCACCGAAGCUGCGGCAGCGACACUAUGUGUUGUUGGGUAGGGGAGCGUUCUGUAAGCCUGUGAAGGUGUGCUGUGAGGCAUGCUGGAGGUAUCAGAAGUGCGAAUGCUGACAUAAGUAACGAUAAAGCGGGUGAAAAGCCCGCUCGCCGGAAGACCAAGGGUUCCUGUCCAACGUUAAUCGGGGCAGGGUGAGUCGACCCCUAAGGCGAGGCCGAAAGGCGUAGUCGAUGGGAAACAGGUUAAUAUUCCUGUACUUGGUGUUACUGCGAAGGGGGGACGGAGAAGGCUAUGUCGGCCGGGCGACGGUUGUCCCGGUUUAAGCGUGUAGGCUGACUUUCCAGGCAAAUCCGGAAGGUUAAGGCUGAGGCGUGAUGACGAGGCACCACGGUGCUGAAGUGACAAAUGCCCUGCUUCCAGGAAAAGCCUCUAAGCAUCAGGUAACAUCAAAUCGUACCCCAAACCGACACAGGUGGUCAGGUAGAGAAUACCAAGGCGCUUGAGAGAACUCGGGUGAAGGAACUAGGCAAAAUGGUGCCGUAACUUCGGGAGAAGGCACGCUGACAUGUAGGUGAAGCCCCUGCGGGUGGAGCUGAAGUCAGUCGAAGAUACCAGCUGGCUGCAACUGUUUAUUAAAAACACAGCACUGUGCAAACACGAAAGUGGACGUAUACGGUGUGACGCCUGCCCGGUGCCGGAAGGUUAAUUGAUGGGGUUAUCGCAAGAGAAGCUCCUGAUCGAAGCCCCGGUAAACGGCGGCCGUAACUAUAACGGUCCUAAGGUAGCGAAAUUCCUUGUCGGGUAAGUUCCGACCUGCACGAAUGGCGUAAUGAUGGCCAGGCUGUCUCCACCCGAGACUCAGUGAAAUUGAACUCGCUGUGAAGAUGCAGUGUACCCGCGGCAAGACGGAAAGACCCCGUGAACCUUUACUACAGCUUGACACUGAACAUUGAGCCUUGAUGUGUAGGAUAGGUGGGAGGCUUUGAAGCGUGGACGCCAGUCUGCGUGGAGCCGACCUUGAAAUACCACCCUUUAAUGUUUGAUGUUCUAACCUGGCGCCGUGAUCCGGCGUGGGGACAGUGUCUGGUGGGUAGUUUGACUGGGGCGGUCUCCUCCCAAAGUGUAACGGAGGAGCACGAAGGUCAGCUAAUCCUGGUCGGACAUCAGGAGGUUAGUGCAAUGGCAUAAGCUGGCUUGACUGCGAGAGUGACGGCUCGAGCAGGUGCGAAAGCAGGUCAUAGUGAUCCGGUGGUUCUGUAUGGAAGGGCCAUCGCUCAACGGAUAAAAGGUACUCCGGGGAUAACAGGCUGAUACCGCCCAAGAGUUCAUAUCGACGGCGGUGUUUGGCACCUCGAUGUCGGCUCAUCACAUCCUGGGGCUGAAGUAGGUCCCAAGGGUAUGGCUGUUCGCCAUUUAAAGUGGUACGCGAGCUGGGUUUAGAACGUCGUGAGACAGUUCGGUCCCUAUCUGCCGUGGGCGCUGGAGAAUUGAGGGGGGCUGCUCCCAGUACGAGAGGACCGGAGUGGACGCAUCACUGGUGUUCGGGUUGUCAUGCCAAUGGCACUGCCCGGUAGCUAAAUGCGGAAGAGAUAAGUGCUGAAAGCAUCUAAGCACGAAACUUGCCCCGAGAUGAGUUCUCCCUGAGACUGUAAGUCUCCUGAAGGAACGUUGAAGACGACGACGUUGAUAGGCCGGGUGUGUAAGCGCAGCGAUGCGUUGAGCUAACCGGUACUAAUGAACCGUGAGGCUUAACCUU